GACGAACGCUGGCGGCGUGCUUAACACAUGCAAGUCGAGCGGUAAGGCCCUUUCGGGGGUACGACGAGCGGCGAACGGGUGAGUAACACGUGGGUGACCUGCCCUCAGCUCUGGGAUAAGCCUGGGAAACUGGGUCUAAUACCGGAUAUGACUCCAUGACGCAUGUUGUGGGGUGGAAAGCCUUGUGCGGCUGAGGAUGGGCCCGCGGCCU
This 211-nucleotide ribosomal RNA is filed under the name uncultured bacterium. Its description in RNAcentral is "partial 16S ribosomal RNA". It matches the Rfam family "Bacterial small subunit ribosomal RNA", at positions 28 to 239 of the family's 1533-position model. The record is from RNAcentral.